This 627-nucleotide ribosomal RNA is filed under the name Ileodictyon cibarium. RNAcentral describes it as "eukaryotic LSU rRNA". It matches the Rfam family "Eukaryotic large subunit ribosomal RNA", at positions 72 to 664 of the family's 3401-position model. The record is from RNAcentral. Lineage: Eukaryota; Fungi; Basidiomycota; Agaricomycetes; Phallales; Phallaceae.
GGAUUCCCCUAGUAACGGCGAGUGAAGCGGGAUGAGCUCAAAUUUGUAAUCUGGCGGUCUCGCGGCCGUCCGAGUUGUAAUCUGGAGAAGCGUUUUCGGCGCCGGUCCGCGUACAAGUCCCCUGGAACGGGGCGUCGCAGAGGGUGAGAAUCCCGUCUUUGACGCGGUCCGCCGGCGCCGUGCGAUGCGCUCUCGAAGAGUCGAGUUGUUUGGGAAUGCAGCUCAAAAUGGGUGGUAAAUUCCAUCUAAAGCUAAAUACUGGCGAAAGACCGAUAGCGAACAAGUACCGUGAGGGAAAGAUGAAAAGCACUUUGGAAAGAGAGUCAAACAGUACGUGAAAUUGUUGAAAGGGAAACGCUUGAAGUCAGUCGCGUCUCUCGGGACUCAGCCGGGUUGGUUCUCGGUGUAUUUCCCGAGUCUGGACGGGCCAGCAUCGGUUUCGACCGUCGUAAAAAGGUGUGAGGAACGUGGCACCCUUCUGGGUGUGUUAUAGCCUCUCGUCGUAUGCGACGGACGGGACCGAGGAACGCAGCGCGCCCCCCUUCGAGGGGGCCGGGGUUCGCCCACGUAACGCGCUUAGGAUGCUGGCGUAAUGGCUUUAAGCGACCCGUCUNAAAAACACGGAAA